AUGGGUGCUACCAAGCUGGUCGUGUCCGCUGCCCUCCUCGUCCUUCUAAGCAUAGGGCUGUCCAGCGCCAUUAGGGUAGUGAACCACGCCGCCACCGCCGAUGGUCAAGGCAGCGGGGGCGGAGGCGGCAGCGGGACUGGCACCAGCCAGGCCUCUGGCCACGGGUCCGGCCACGGGACGUCCGAGGCGUACGACAAGAACAGCUACGUCUACGGCUCCGGAGGAGGCCGCGGCGGCGGCAGCUGGGAAGGCAGAGAGGAGCCCGCGGCUGGUUACGGAACUGGCGGCGCAUCCGGCUCGGGCCACGGCGACUCGAGUAACACGGACACCGGCGGUUUGUCCACAAACGCGAAUGGCCAAGGCGGCGGUGCUGGUUCUGGAGGGAGCGCCGGGAAGGGCAGCGGCUCCGGCUCCGGCGACGGAAGCGGGUCAGGGAUAGCUGAUAGCUAUGGACCAGACGGUUCGAGCUACGCGAACAGCGGAGGGGGAGGAGGUGGCGACGCCGGCGGUAGCGACGAUGGGUUUGCCAGUGGUUCUGGAGGUGGAUCAGGGAACAGCAGCGGUGAAUCAACACCUUAA
RNAcentral lists this ribosomal RNA (579 nucleotides) under Triticum aestivum (bread wheat). RNAcentral describes it as "partial small subunit ribosomal RNA". The record is from RNAcentral. Lineage: Eukaryota; Viridiplantae; Streptophyta; Magnoliopsida; Poales; Poaceae.